CACCCCUACUAACGUGUUCGGAACAUAUUCUUUAUCGGUGUUAAGUAGAGCGUAAAAUCAAAGACUAUCGAAUGAAAUAUAAUCUCGCUGCUCCGAGACUCCAACGCGAGCUACCUGAGACCCGGUGAAUUUUCUACCGGAUAUGGAUGUGCUUUAAGGAAUUCCAGUGUUAAUAGAUUCAUUUUGAGGAAAUAGCUGGUGUGCAGUGCACAUUUCUAAAUGAAUUCAUCAGUUUACAUUAAGGAUCUACCUUCAAAUCCUGUAAUUUGGGAUGCUCUAAAGUGCAUGUCACAGACUAAAGUUAUAGAAAUAACUUCCAAGAAUUUUAAAGAAAUUGUUAUAACUUUGAAAUGUAUGUAUAUACAUGUAUACUGAUAUUGAAUUAAAUUUUAUAAAAUUUCAACAUCUGAUUUUAUGUAUAUAUAGACAUUUUGUAAAAAUUUUCCACUCUAAAGGUUUAAUUUCUUUAAUAUUCAAGACUUAAAAAAAAACUUUUGCAGAUACAGUGAUGUAACAUUUGUCUUCCUUUCUGAUCAAUACAUAUAUAUAAGAAAACUAUGUAUAUUUCAAUAAAGGUGGAAAAUUUUCAACCAUUGAAUUUCCAUUUAUGAGUAGUAACUUGUACAUAGUACUUCUUAACCAACUUUGAUACUGUAUAACUA
Ostrea edulis (European flat oyster) is the source of this 662-nucleotide long non-coding RNA. RefSeq lists it as uncharacterized. NCBI's taxonomy places the organism in Eukaryota, Metazoa, Mollusca, Bivalvia, Ostreida, Ostreidae. The transcript has 2 exons. The record is from RefSeq and is a predicted model, not a curated record.